UUCGCAAUGCCCGAAAGGGUGACAAUGCGACGCCGCGUGAGCGAUGAAGUCCUUCGGGAUGUAAAGCUCUGUCAGCCCGGAUGAAUAUUUGCUUUUUAAUAGGAAGCAGAGACGACAGUACGGGCAGAGGAGGCCACGGCUAACUCCGUGCCAGCAGCCGCGGUAAUACAGAGGUGGCAAGCGUUGUUCGGAAUUAUUGGGCGUAAAGAGCACGUAGGUGGGUUUGUAAGUCAGAUGUGAAAGCCUUCUGUUCAACAGAAGAAUUGCAUCUGAAACUGCGAGUCUUGAGUGUAGGAGGGGAGAAUGGAACUUCUGGUGGAGCGGUGAAAUGCGUAGAUAUCAGAAGGAACGCCGGCGGCGAAAGCGAUUCUCUGGCCUAUUACUGACACUCAGUGUGCGAAAGCUAGGGGAGCAAACGGGAUUAGAUACCCCGGUAGUCCUAGCCGUAAACGAUGGGCACUAAGUAGAGGGGUUUU
This 476-nucleotide ribosomal RNA is filed under the name uncultured anaerobic ammonium-oxidizing bacterium. RNAcentral describes it as "bacterial SSU rRNA". It matches the Rfam family "Bacterial small subunit ribosomal RNA", at positions 365 to 832 of the family's 1533-position model. The record is from RNAcentral.